UACGGGGGGAGCAAGCGUUGUUCGGAUUUACUGGGCGUAAAGGGCGCGUAGGCGGUCGUGACAAGUCACUUGUGAAAUCUCCGGGCUUAACUCGGAACGGUCAAGUGAUACUGUCGGACUAGAGUACAGAAGGGGCAACUGGAAUUCUCGGUGUAGCGGUGAAAUGCGCAGAUAUCAGGAGGAACACCAAUUGCGAAGGCAGCUCGCUGGGACGUUACUGACGCUGAGACGCGAAAGCGUGGGGAGCAAACAGG
This 254-nucleotide ribosomal RNA is filed under the name uncultured bacterium. RNAcentral's name for it is "partial 16S ribosomal RNA". It matches the Rfam family "Bacterial small subunit ribosomal RNA", at positions 524 to 776 of the family's 1533-position model. The record is from RNAcentral.